Long non-coding RNA from Myxocyprinus asiaticus (Chinese sucker), 1019 nucleotides. RefSeq lists it as uncharacterized. NCBI's taxonomy places the organism in Eukaryota, Metazoa, Chordata, Actinopteri, Cypriniformes, Catostomidae. The transcript has 3 exons. The record is from RefSeq and is a predicted model, not a curated record.
UGACAAUGCAGACAAGCGUGAAAGUGUAGAAAGAGGAGAGGUCGAGUAGAGUUGUAGCAGUUACUCAUCAUGAUCAUUUUGUGUCUUACCAUCCUUGUUCUUCCCUUGUGUGGGUCAGUGCCAUUAGCUGGGUGGGUGUAGUCCCCUGAACAUCCACGUGGAUAUAACCCUGAUUCCAGCCUUACAUGGGAAGAGUGUGCCCCAAAAGGACACAGAAUCACCCUCACUCUCAUACACUUGGACCUGGAAGAAAGUUAUGAGUGUGAAAAUGAUGCCUUGAAGUAGGUGGCGGAAUAUGCACCAAAAGCUGGUUUGCCACCCGCCAUAAAACGUCAAAGAAGAAGAAGAAGCCUUAAGACCGGAGAACGAGAAGAGGUGCAUAAUUAAUAAUCAUCCUUUGGUCAGUGGUGAAUAAAGCACACCUGAUGGGGAUAAUGCUUCAUCACCGCUGUCUUUAAAACGCAGUGUGCACCUUUUCUCGGAGAGCCGGUUUCAAAUCUCCAUGUGUGCGCACACUGGCAUCCUCCCAGGACCAGGACCAGGACCAGGACCAGGACCAGGACCAGGACCAGGACCAGGACCAGGACCAGGACCAGGACCAGGACCAGGACCAGGACCAGGACCACAGCUGGGAGGGAUCGGACGAGUGGCCGCGCUGCCGGACCCGUUCUUCGGACCCCCGGACGUUGUAAUGAGUCGCCGGGGGUGAACUGCUCACGUUGCCGCCGACGGGCUAGAUGCCGGGCCGCCUUCCCCUCACGCUUGCCACGGGUCUGGGAAGACAGGCCGCCAGUGACGCUUUGGAGUUUGGAGGGGAGCGUGAGCGGCCGGCUGACCCAGCCCGUGCUUGGGCUUUCCUAUGAACACUACCUGGCCCUUUCACGGAUCCCCGUUCACCGCGAGGAUGCCAGAUUCCCCCUUUUAUGAACACUAUUACCCCUUGGACACUUUAUUACCCCUUUUGGACAUCUUUACGUUUAUUAUUUCCAAUAAAUGCCUCUCCGAGGCUUGACGCCACA